AUUAAUGUAAUGGUUCCACCAAACCUUUCCCACUGUCUAUAUAGUUUAUAUGUCUCAAUUCAAUAUAAUACAACGCAAUAGGAUGUUAUAUUUAUAUACAACGUGCGUGGCAUGGGGAUGCAUUUACCUGUCUUUAUGUGAGAAGUAAAGUCAGAGAAAGAGAGGGAGAGAAGGGGAGAGAAAUAUAGAUCCUUCGACUCCACAUUUAGAAUCAUCGAUCUAAUGGUUUUUAUUGGAGUUGAUAGGCAGAGUUGGAGAACAUAUAUGCCUCCCUGACGGUAGCAAUAUCAGAGUUCUUGAAGUGCAGCUUGGCACUUCAGCGAAGGGCCCAUGGCAUGGCAGGCAGUGCUCACUUCUCAGAAUCUGUCAAAAGGGGUUGAGCCCCCAUGGCUCAAUCACAUGAGUGAACUUUAUGAUAUUAUAUAUUUCCUUACAAUUUGUGGUUGUAUAUUUGUAUCAGUAUGAGUUUCAUGUUUGCUGCUGCAUCUUGAAUACUUUGUCCAGUGCUAUAGAAUUCAAUCUUCAGGUGAGUGAAGCAUUUCCAUCAGAUGUUAAUUUGAAGCUUCCUUGAGCAUAUAUAGACAAGGCUUGGUUUGCUUUGCGAAGGACAAAUCUGGUCUUUGGUUGGUCCUUGUUAGCAGUUCCAGCAAUGAUAUAAUAUGCUGUUUGACUAUGUAAAUGCUUGAACUCAGAGUUUUAGACCAAGUAUCCAGUACGGACUAGCUAGUUUGUUGUCAGCUCUGUUCUUUUUUCUUUUUCCUUGUUUUCUGUAUUAUGCAAUUGUUUUCUGGUGCAACACAAUGUGCUAGGACCACCAUCAUUUUAACCUAGGUUUUCUUUGUGAUUGUUCAUACAACAUUUCCUCGUUGUCAGCUUGUGAUACAAACAUAUUGCUAAGACUGAAACUUAUAUUCCAAACCUCAAAAAAGUUUAGUAGCAGCAGAAUCCCUCAACCAGAAGGGAAGACUAACAUGUCGGAUGGUGGUAUUCGAUUCAUUUUAGUUUGUCACUUUUCAAGCAAUAUGCCCAUCUGCCACUUGUCAGCUAAGCCAGCCACCACAUUUCGUCCCCAUUCGUCGUCCCAAUUGGUUCACCUUCUUUUUUGUGUAAGUUGGUUCAGGAUCUCACUUAAAGAUGAAGUGCCUGGCCUUGAUUUUCCCCAAACAAGUCUGGCGACUGAGCUUUUUCCUGGGAUAAUAAGGAUAAAGCCUGCUGGCCUCACUCAUUUGGGUACAAAGUCGCAAGCAACUCAGAAUCAGCAGCCUAAUGGUUUAUUAUCCUGUUAAGGUUCAAGGUCCAAAUCCAACCCAACUUCCCCAUCUCCCUUAACCUCCGAGUUAAAUAUUGGUGCUCAAAGCAUGUAACAGCCUAAAGGAUUGAACCCACCAAAGUUCCUAAAUAACAAAAAGUGUAAAGAACUUAAAGACGCAAUAUUAAGAGCAAUUUAUUUUUCUUCUUAGCAGACCAGGAGGAACAAAUACAGUCAAACUUUCCAUGCUUGAUAUAACACUAAAGGGGAUAAACAAAAGAUAUGGGAUAGUUGGCAUGGUUCGUUUACAGGACGGAAAAGAGCUAAAAGUGGAGAACAAAGGAAGUUCACCGGCUUGAGAAGCUGGAAAUGAUGAUGCUGUGAGUGAAAUUUAGUCAAACUUCUACACCAGUCCAUGAUAUUAGAAUUAAGGUAUGUAUAAUAUAAUGGAGACAAGUGUUGC
Molecule: long non-coding RNA, 1712 nt
Filed under: Theobroma cacao (cacao)
Lineage: Eukaryota; Viridiplantae; Streptophyta; Magnoliopsida; Malvales; Malvaceae
Description: long non-coding RNA (TCAC_LNC004859)
Source: RNAcentral